AACAGAUGAUGCCUAUCAACUGUUUAAAAAGAUGGUUCUGCUAUCACUCUUGGGAUGGACCUGCGGUGCAUUAGCUAGUUGGUAGGGUAACGGCCUACCAAGGCGAUGAUGCAUAGCCCGAGUUGAGAGACUGAUCGGCCACAUUGGGACUGAGACACGGCCCAAAAACUCCUACGGGAGGCAGCAGUAGGGAAUCUUCCACAAUGGACGCAAGUCUGAUGGAGCAAACGCCGCGUGAGUGAAGUAAGGGUUUCGGCUCGUAAAGCUCUGUUGUUGGUGAAGAAGGACAGGGGUAGUAACUGACCUUUGUUUGACGGUAAUCAAUUAGAAAGUCACGGCUAACUACGUGCCAGCAGCCGCGGUAAU
Molecule: ribosomal RNA, 366 nt
Filed under: uncultured Lactobacillus sp.
Lineage: Bacteria; Bacillati; Bacillota; Bacilli; Lactobacillales; Lactobacillaceae
Description: bacterial SSU rRNA
Rfam family: Bacterial small subunit ribosomal RNA
Source: RNAcentral